UGCAGUCGAGCGGUCAUAGCCUUUCGUCGUCGCCAGACGGCGUGAGUAACGAGUAACGAACGUACCUUCUGCCCCGCACUCUGGGAUAAACUUUGUGCCUGGCCCUAAUACCCCCUUUGACCGAAAGAUUUAUCGCCGUGUGAUCGACCCACGUCUGAUUACCUAAUUGGUGAGGUAAUGGCUCACCUGGGCGACGAUCAAUAGCUGGUCUGGAGGAUGAUCAGCCACAUUGGGACUGAGACACGGCCCAAACUCCUACGGGAGGCAGCACUGGGGAAUAUUGGACAAUGGGCGCAAGCCUGAUCCAGCCAUGCCGCGUGAGUGAUGAAGGCCCUAGGGUUGUAAAGCUCUUUUGUGCGGGAAGAUAAUGACGGUACCGCAAGAAUAAGCCCCGGCUAACUUCGUGCCAGCAACCGCGGUAAUACGAAGGGGGCUAGCGUUGCUCGGAAUCACUGGGCGUAAAGGGUGCGUAGGCGGGUCUUUAAGUCAGGGGUGAAAUCCUGGAGCUCAACUCCAGAACUGCCUUUGAUACUGAAGAUCUUGAGUUCGGGAGAGGUGAGUGGAACUGCGAGUGUAGAGGUGAAAUU
Molecule: ribosomal RNA, 587 nt
Filed under: Bradyrhizobium jicamae
Lineage: Bacteria; Pseudomonadati; Pseudomonadota; Alphaproteobacteria; Hyphomicrobiales; Nitrobacteraceae
Description: bacterial SSU rRNA
Rfam family: Bacterial small subunit ribosomal RNA
Source: RNAcentral